GGAGGGGUGGGCGAGCGGACUAAACCACCGGUCUUGAAAACCGGCGAGCCGCAAGGUUCCGCGGGUUCGAAUCCCGCCCCCUCCGCCA
RNAcentral lists this transfer RNA (88 nucleotides) under Candidatus Acetothermia bacterium. RNAcentral describes it as "tRNA-Ser". It matches the Rfam family "tRNA". From Rfam's summary of the family: Transfer RNA (tRNA) molecules are approximately 80 nucleotides in length. The record is from RNAcentral. Lineage: Bacteria; Candidatus Bipolaricaulota. RNAcentral also lists the same sequence under 1 other name.